This is a ribozyme of Oncorhynchus mykiss (rainbow trout), 293 nucleotides long. It matches the Rfam family "Nuclear RNase P". Rfam says of the family: Ribonuclease P (RNase P) is a ubiquitous endoribonuclease, found in archaea, bacteria and eukarya as well as chloroplasts and mitochondria. Its best characterised activity is the generation of mature 5'-ends of tRNAs by cleaving the 5'-leader elements of precursor-tRNAs. NCBI's taxonomy places the organism in Eukaryota, Metazoa, Chordata, Actinopteri, Salmoniformes, Salmonidae. The record is from Ensembl.
GUGGGUGGAAGCUCAUCAUAGAGGUCACAUGCAGGGUGCUUGUCACUCAACCAAUCACCUUGGGGAAGGUCUGAGACAAGAGCCAAUCACUGCCCUAGCAGGGUAUCACCUGACCUGGGUGAGUGAGUGCACAUUGUGAGUUGUCUUUACAGGAGAAACCAGCCAGAGCAGCUCUCCAGCACUACUGGUUGAUGUGACCUCACUGGCUUGGAAACACUCAUGGCUGUCAUAUGAGUGCAAUGUGUGAGUUGGAGUACACCUCCAGAACCCAAUUCAGACUACUCUCUGCCCAC